GGGCAAAAGAUUAUUUUUGGUUAAUAGUCAUUAUUAUCUUUUUAUUAAUUUUAAACUUUUUAGGUGAAAUUUUUAUUUUUAUUAUAAUAUAUUUAUUUACAUUCUGUGAAACUUAAGUUAUAAACAAGGAUUAGAUACCCUUUUAUAUUAAGUGUUAAUUUUUUACUUGGGUAGUAUUAGUUAUGUUCUUGAAACCCAAAGAAUUUGGCGGUAUUUUAGUCUUUUCAGAGGAACCUGUUCUGUAAUCGAUAAUCCACGAUUUUAUUGACUCAUGUUUUGUUUUCAGUUUUUAUAUCUCCGUCAUAAGAAUAUUUUUUUAGAAGAAAUUUUCUUAAUUGUUUAAUGCAAUUAUGCCAGGUCAAGGUGAAGCUAAUAUCUGAGUAGAAAUGGGUUACAAUAAAUUUAUUUAUACGGAUUUUUUAAAUUGUAGUAAUUUUGAAGGUGGAUUUGGAAGUAAAAUUUAACUAAUUAUUUUUUUUGAUUUUAGCUCUAAAAUAUGUACACAUCGCCCGUCGCUCUCAUAAUAAGGUGAGAUAAGUCGUAACAUAGUAGAUGUAUCGGAAGAUGUAUCUAGUAAGUUC
Molecule: ribosomal RNA, 581 nt
Filed under: Erythromma lindenii
Lineage: Eukaryota; Metazoa; Arthropoda; Insecta; Odonata; Coenagrionidae
Description: partial 12S ribosomal RNA
Source: RNAcentral